CUCCUACGGGAGGCAGCAGUGAGGAAUAUUGGACAAUGGUCGGAAGACUGAUCCAGCCAUGCCGCGUGCAGGAUGAAGGUCUUAUGGAUUGUAAACUGCUUUUGUAAGGGAAGAAUAAGGGCUACGCGUAGUUUGAUGACGGUACCUUACGAAUAAGCAUCGGCUAACUCCGUGCCAGCAGCCGCGGUAAUACGGAGGAUGCGAGCGUUAUCCGGAAUCAUUGGGUUUAAAGGGUCUGUAGGCGGGCUGGUAAGUCAGAGGUGAAAGCGCUUAGCUCAACUAAGCAACUGCCUUUGAAACUGUUGGUCUUGAAUGGUUGUGAAGUAGUUGGAAUGUGUAGUGUAGCGGUGAAAUGCUUAGAUAUUACACAGAACACCGAUAGCGAAGGCAUAUUACUAACAAUUAAUUGACGCUGAUGGACGAAAGCGUGGGGAGCGAACAGGAUUAGAUACCCUGGUAGUCCACGCUGUAAACGAUGGAUACUAGCUGUUUGGUUUAAGGAUUGAGUGGCUAAGCGAAAGUGAUAAGUAUCCCACCUGGGGAGUACGUUCGCAAGAAUGAAACUCAAAGGAAUUGACGGGGGCCCGCACAAG
Molecule: ribosomal RNA, 593 nt
Filed under: uncultured bacterium
Lineage: Bacteria
Description: bacterial SSU rRNA
Rfam family: Bacterial small subunit ribosomal RNA
Source: RNAcentral